GUGUUGGAGUUCGACGACCAGAAGGGAAGAAAGGGGGUAAACCCUAGUUGAUCAAAAAUCCAGCAAUUGAUAAGGGAUUUCAAGGUUUAGUUGAUGCAUGAAGCUCAAUUCUCGACCAUCUAACCUUUCUUAACAAACGGGAUAAAGGAGGAGAGUUCGAGUCGCACAAAGAAAGAAGGAAAUCAAGAUCGAGGCAAAUCCUCAAUUUAGGCGACUUGGCAAUUUGGAGCGAGCAUAUGCACACCUUAUGGUUAUCAAGCGCUUCCGCUAUUACGUAUUAAUGUUUUGGGUCAAACGCUCGUUUUUGUGUAACAUCGUUAGUGGUUACACUUUUUAA
Helianthus annuus (common sunflower) is the source of this 337-nucleotide long non-coding RNA. RefSeq lists it as uncharacterized. The transcript is spliced from 3 exons. The record is from RefSeq and is a predicted model, not a curated record. NCBI's taxonomy places the organism in Eukaryota, Viridiplantae, Streptophyta, Magnoliopsida, Asterales, Asteraceae.